UGCAUGGUUGUCGUCAGCUCGUGCCGUGAGGUGUCGGGUUAAGUCCCAUAACGAGCGCAACCCCUACCUUUAGUUGCCAUCAGGUUAAGCUGGGGACUCUAAAGGAACUGCCUACGCAAGUAGUGAGGAAGGCGGGGAUGACGUCAAAUCAGCACGGCCCUUACGUCCAGGGCUACACACGUGCUACAAUGGCCGAUACAGAGGGCAGCUACCUGGUGACAGGAUGCAAAUCUCCAAAGUCGGUCUCAGUUCGGAUCGGAGUCUGCAACCCGACUCCGUGAAGUUGGAUUCGCUAGUAAUCGCGCAUCAGCCAUGGCGCGGUGAAUACGUUCCCGGGCCUU
This 341-nucleotide ribosomal RNA is filed under the name uncultured Sphingobacteriales bacterium. RNAcentral's name for it is "bacterial SSU rRNA". It matches the Rfam family "Bacterial small subunit ribosomal RNA", at positions 1042 to 1382 of the family's 1533-position model. Lineage: Bacteria; Pseudomonadati; Bacteroidota; Sphingobacteriia; Sphingobacteriales. The record is from RNAcentral.